UGGCGGCAGCUAAUACAUGCAAGUCGAGCGGACCGACGGGAGCUUGCUCCCUUAGGUUAGCGGCGGACGGGUGAGUAACACGUGGGUAACCUGCCUGUAAGACUGGGAUAACUCCGGGAAACCGGGGCUAAUACCGGAUGCUUGAUUGAACCGCAUGGUUCAAUUAUAAAAGGUGGCUUUUAGCUACCACUUACAGAUGGACCCGCGGCGCAUUAGCUAGUUGGUGAGGUAACGGCUCACCAAGGCAACGAUGCGUAGCCGACCUGAGAGGGUGAUCGGCCACACUGGGACUGAGACACGGCCCAGACUCCUACGGGAGGCAGCAGUAGGGAAUCUUCCGCAAUGGACGAAAGUCUGACGGAGCAACGCCGCGUGAGUGAUGAAGGUUUUCGGAUCGUAAAACUCUGUUGUUAGGGAAGAACAAGUACCGUUCGAAUAGGGCGGUACCUUGACGGUACCUAACCAGAAAGCCACGGCUAACUACGUGCCAGCAGCCGCGGUAAUACGUAGGUGGCAAGCGUUGUCCGGAAUUAUUGGGGCGUAAAGCGCGCGCAGGCGGUUUCUUAAGUCUGAUGUGAAAGCCCCCGGCUCACCCGGGGAGGGUCAUUGGAAACUGGGGAACUUGAGUGCAGAGAGGAGAGU
Molecule: ribosomal RNA, 642 nt
Filed under: Bacillus sp. (in: firmicutes)
Lineage: Bacteria; Bacillati; Bacillota; Bacilli; Caryophanales; Bacillaceae
Description: bacterial SSU rRNA
Rfam family: Bacterial small subunit ribosomal RNA
Source: RNAcentral